UACGUAGGGUGCAAGCGUUAAUCGGAAUUACUGGGCGUAAAGGGCGUGCAGGCGGUUUGUUAAGUGCAGGGUGAAAGCUCCCGGCUCAACUGGGAGAGGUCCUUGCAUACUGGCGAACUCGAGGGAGGCAGAGGAAAGUGGAAUUCCGGGUGUAGCGGUGGAAUGCGUAGAGAUCCGGAAGAACACCAGUGGCGAAGGCGGCCUGCUGGGCAGUUGCUGACGCUGAGGCGCGACAGCGUGGGGAGCAAACAGG
This 253-nucleotide ribosomal RNA is filed under the name uncultured bacterium. RNAcentral's name for it is "partial 16S ribosomal RNA". It matches the Rfam family "Bacterial small subunit ribosomal RNA", at positions 524 to 776 of the family's 1533-position model. The record is from RNAcentral.